AUCCUGGCCUAGGAAAAAGCUUCCUUGGUGAAGUUUAUCUUCUUUUGGGUGAACUCUGAAGAGGACCAAAAUGCUGCCACCACCAGCCAACUGGCAUUGGCAAGCUUCUUAUCAGACUUCCAAUGCUUCUUGCUCUCCACCAGAAGAUUUGUCUUGGCCUUCUUUAAUGCCACCUCGGCCCUCUUCUAUGCAGAUUCAGCUUUGUUCUGCACCACUUCCCUCAUCACCCUUACCACUUUGGCCUCCUUCUUUUCCACCUCAACUAUCGUAUGGGCGGCUUCAGCUUUCUCUAGUACCUCUUUAAGGCACUUUGCUUCGGCCUUGGCCUCAUUGGCCC
RNAcentral lists this long non-coding RNA (337 nucleotides) under Elaeis guineensis (African oil palm). RNAcentral describes it as "long non-coding RNA (EGUI_LNC015899)". The record is from RNAcentral. Lineage: Eukaryota; Viridiplantae; Streptophyta; Magnoliopsida; Arecales; Arecaceae.